This 512-nucleotide ribosomal RNA is filed under the name Oidiodendron sp. RNAcentral's name for it is "LSU rRNA". It matches the Rfam family "Eukaryotic large subunit ribosomal RNA", at positions 69 to 585 of the family's 3401-position model. Lineage: Eukaryota; Fungi; Ascomycota; Leotiomycetes; Myxotrichaceae. The record is from RNAcentral.
CAGGGAUUGCCUCAGUAACGGCGAGUGAAGCGGCAACAGCUCAAAUUUGAAAUCUGGCCCCCUCGGGGCCCGAGUUGUAAUUUGGAGAAGAUGCUUCGGGUGCGGCCCCGGUCUAAGUUCCUUGGAACAGGACGUCACAGAGGGUGAGAAUCCCGUACGUGCCCGGUGGUCGCCCCCGUGUGAAGCUCUUUCGACGAGUCGAGUUGUUUGGGAAUGCAGCUCAAAAUGGGUGGUAAAUUUCAUCUAAAGCUAAAUAUUGGCCAGAGACCGAUAGCGCACAAGUAGAGUGAUCGAAAGAUGAAAAGCACUUUGGAAAGAGAGUUAAACAGUACGUGAAAUUGUUGAAAGGGAAGCGCUUGCAACCAGACUUGCGCGCGGCCGAUCAUCCGGUGCUCGCACCGGUGCACUCGACCGCGCGCAGGCCAGCAUCGGUUUGGGCGGCUGGACAAAGGCCGCGGGAACGUGGCUCCCCCCGGGGAGUGUUAUAGCCCGCGGCGCAAUGCAGCCCGCCC